RNAcentral lists this ribosomal RNA (242 nucleotides) under uncultured bacterium. Its description in RNAcentral is "partial 16S ribosomal RNA". It matches the Rfam family "Bacterial small subunit ribosomal RNA", at positions 527 to 769 of the family's 1533-position model. The record is from RNAcentral.
GUAGGUGGCAAGCGUUGUCCGGAAUUACUGGGUGUAAAGGGAGCGUAGGCGGGAAUGCAAGUUGAAUGUUUAAACUAUGGGCUCAACCCAUAAUCGCGUUCAAAACUGCAUUUCUUGAGUGGAGUAGAGGCAGGCGGAAUUCCUAGUGUAGCGGUGAAAUGCGUAGAUAUUAGGAGGAACACCAGUGGCGAAGGCGGCCUGCUGGGCUCUAACUGACGCUGAGGCUCGAAAGCGUGGGUAGC